Molecule: transfer RNA, 72 nt
Filed under: Cryptocentrus cinctus
Lineage: Eukaryota; Metazoa; Chordata; Actinopteri; Gobiiformes; Gobiidae
Description: tRNA-Asp
Rfam family: tRNA
About the family: Transfer RNA (tRNA) molecules are approximately 80 nucleotides in length. Their secondary structure includes four short double-helical elements and three loops (D, anti-codon, and T loops). Further hydrogen bonds mediate the characteristic L-shaped molecular structure. tRNAs have two regions of fundamental functional importance: the anti-codon, which is responsible for specific mRNA codon recognition, and the 3' end, to which the tRNAs corresponding amino acid is attached (by aminoacyl-tRNA synthetases). tRNAs cope with the degeneracy of the genetic code in two manners: having more than one tRNA (with a specific anti-codon) for a particular amino acid; and 'wobble' base-pairing, i.e. permitting non-standard base-pairing at the 3rd anti-codon position.
Source: RNAcentral
AAGAUACUGGUAUAAGAGUUAAUACACUGCUUUGUCAAGGCAGGGUUGCAGGUUAGAGCCCUGCGUAUCUUG